Molecule: transfer RNA, 63 nt
Filed under: Brookesia bonsi
Lineage: Eukaryota; Metazoa; Chordata; Lepidosauria; Squamata; Chamaeleonidae
Description: tRNA-His
Source: RNAcentral
GUUGUGGUAGUUUAACAAGACAUUAGCUUGUGACGCUAAAAAUGGAAUUUUUUCCCCGCGGCC